RNAcentral lists this long non-coding RNA (391 nucleotides) under Monodelphis domestica (gray short-tailed opossum). RNAcentral describes it as "lncRNA (ENSMODG00000050023.1)". The record is from RNAcentral. Lineage: Eukaryota; Metazoa; Chordata; Mammalia; Didelphimorphia; Didelphidae.
AUGCUGCCAUCAGCUAACUCUCUGCCACAAAAGAUAGCUUUUCUUCUGAUAAGGGAAAUAACUAUGAGGCAUGUGGAGAAGUGGGAGAAUGAUAAGAGAAUGUUGGAGCCUUUAUUCAGAAGAGUUUGCAACUUUUUCUUGGGAUUUUCCAUAUUAAUCAUGCCCUUCAUAGAAGUGAGGAGUGAGAAGGAUGAGGAAACAAUUUUAUCCUUUCUCCUUGGGAUAAGCAGAAGUAGAGAUAUCUUCCUUGCCAGGCCAUAAUAAGAGGCGAAUGUCAGGAACCCGGAAGGACCAGAGAGAAGUUGGUGUCAGUAAUUGGCUCAUUGCUCCUUGAUCCAUUGUAAAGUCUGGAGGAUGUUUCAGAAAAUAAAGAAGGUAUCAUGGAAAGCCA